AAUGUCAAUAGUGUCAUAAUUUAACCUAAAUUUUAUUAGAGUUAUUUUUGUUUUAAAUUCAAAAUUCUUCUGUGAUAUUACUAUAGAAAAUUUUAUUAUGUUUAUUAAAUCUGUUAAAUCAUUAACAUCUUUUAAAGCCGAUUUGACAUUAAGAAAAUUAUGUAUGAAUACUAUGAAUGCACCAAAGUCGAAACGAUGUGAUUCAAAUUUCAAAAGAAAUUUUGGUCAACCUUCAUUUAAUACUCAUCCUCAUCUCAUUAAAGAAGGAGAAGUAACUCCUUUUAUAACAAAGUCGGAAUAUCAAGAUCGUAGAUGUAACCUUGUUGAAUGCAUACUCAAGCAUGCCGCUACUAAUAACAAGGAAAAAAGUCAUGUGAUAGUGAUUCCAGCUGCAUCUAAACAGUAUAUGUCAGACAAAAUCCCUUACGUCUUCCGUCAAAAUACAGAAUUCCUAUAUUUAACUGGCUGCCAGGAACCGGAUUGUUGUGUAGUAAUAACAGCUGAAUCGUCUGGCCAAUUAUGCACAACUUUUUUCACCAGAGAUAAAGAUGAACAUGCCGAAUUAUGGGAUGGCCCAAGAACUCAUCCAGAACAGGCUACUGAUUUCUUUGGUGUCGAACAGAGUUUGCCAAUCAGUGAAUUGGACAAUUUUUUGAAAUCGUACAGAAAAUCAAAUAAAAACUUAAUGCUAUGGUACGAUUUCCUGACACCUGUCCAAAACAGCGUACAUAAGGUUAUAAGCGAUUAUAUUAGUGAUAGUAGGAAUCAGAAAUGUGACAAUCCUAAGUCGUUUAUCCAUAGAUUGAGGCUGUACAAGAGCCCUGCAGAAAUUGCAUUAAUGCAAAAAUCUUGUGACAUUACGGCUAAAGCUUUCAAGGAAGCGAUGUCUAGUUCCAAGCCUUGUCUAGGCGAAAACCAAAUCUUUGCCGAAAUUGACUAUAGAUGUAGAAUGCAAGGAGCAGAAUACCUGGCAUAUCCCCCUGUCGUAGCAGGGGGAAGUCGGGCCACCAUUAUCCAUUACAUCAACAACAACCAGCUCAUUAAUGAUGGGGAAAUGGUACUGGUAGACGCAGGUUGUGAAUAUCAUGGUUAUUCGAGCGAUGUAACAAGAACGUGGCCGGUGAACGGUAAAUUUACACCCCAACAAAGAGAAAUAUACGAAGUGGUGUAUUCCGUUCAAGAAGAACUGAUCCAAAUGUGCUCUUCGUUGCCCACGUUAGACGCUCUAUUCGAAUCGAUGUGUUAUCUACUGGGUAAAAGGUUGCAGGAGAUCGGGUUGAUAGGAAUACAGCCAUCUAGUGAAUAUUUAAUGAAGACUGCCUAUCAGCUGUGCCCUCAUCAUGUGUCGCAUUACUUAGGAAUGGAUAUUCAUGAUACUCCGAUGAUUAAUAGGAACAUAAAUAUUGCGCCGGGAAUGAUAAUUACAAUCGAACCAGGUAUUUAUGUAUGUGAAAAGAAUAAAUCACUACCCAAAGAGUACCAAGGCAUUGGAAUAAGAAUCGAGGACGACAUUCUGAUCACCGUCAACGGACCCGUGGUGCUUAGUAGGAAAUGUCCGAAGCACAUAGACGAAAUAGAGAAAAUAGUGUGUCAAAAUCAGUGACGACAUAAUGUGUUGUAAAGAAAAGACCUCGCAAUGGAAUAAAUAAUGUACAAAUUUAAUUUCAAGAUAAGUAACAAGUUUUAUGGUUUUUCAGUUUAUUUAAAAAAUACAACCUUAACAAAAUAAAUUUUACAUUGGACAAAUAUAAACCUCU
Molecule: RNA transcript, 1757 nt
Organism: Anoplophora glabripennis (Asian longhorned beetle)
Lineage: Eukaryota; Metazoa; Arthropoda; Insecta; Coleoptera; Cerambycidae
Gene name: probable Xaa-Pro aminopeptidase 3
Exons: 9
Source: RefSeq, a predicted model, not a curated record